GAUGAACGCUGGCGGCGUGCCUAAUACAUGCAAGUCGAGCGAACAGACGAGGAGCUUGCUCCUCUGACGUUAGAGGCGGACGGGUGAGUAACACGUGGAUAACCUACCUAUAAGACUGGGAUAACUUCGGGAAACCGGAGCUAAUACCGGAUAAUAUAUUGAACCGCAUGGUUCAAUAGUGAAAGACGGUUUUGCUGUCACUUAUAGAUGGAUCCGCGCCGCAUUAGCUAGUUGGUAAGGUAACGGCUUACCAAGGCAACGAUGCGUAGCCGACCUGAGAGGGUGAUCGGCCACACUGGAACUGAGACACGGCCCAGACUCCUACGGGAGGCGGCAGUAGGGAAUCUUCCGCAAUGGGCGAAAGCCUGACGGAGCAACGCCGCGUGAGUGAUGAAGGUCUUCGGAUCGUAAACCUCUGUUAUUAGGGAAGAACAAAUGUGUAAUUAACUAUGCACGUCUUGACGGUACCUAAUCAGAAAGCCCCGGCUAACUACGUG
Molecule: ribosomal RNA, 497 nt
Filed under: uncultured bacterium
Lineage: Bacteria
Description: partial 16S ribosomal RNA
Rfam family: Bacterial small subunit ribosomal RNA
Source: RNAcentral